Molecule: ribosomal RNA, 335 nt
Filed under: uncultured bacterium
Lineage: Bacteria
Description: bacterial SSU rRNA
Rfam family: Bacterial small subunit ribosomal RNA
Source: RNAcentral
GAGGGAAGCUUGCGCAAUGGGCGAAAGCCAGAUGCAGCGACGCCGCGUGGGCGAUGAAGGCCUUCGGGUUGUAAAGCCCUUUUCCGAGGGAAGAGAAGGGACGGUACCUCGGGAAUAAGCCUCGGCUAACUACGUGCCAGCAGCCGUGGUAAUACGUAGGAGGCUAGCGUUAUCCGGAUUCAUUGGGCGUAAAGCGUGCGCAGGCGGUCUUGCAAGUCGGGCGUGAAAGCCCUCGGCUCAACCGGGGGAGGUCGUCCGAAACUGCGGGGCUUGAGGGGAGGAGAGGAGGGCGGAAUUCCGGGGGUAGCGGUGCUGUGCGUAGAGAUCGGGAGGAA